CAAAACCCUAAGAAAAUGUUUAAUUUGGAUAUAAAAAAAAGGAGUUAACUACAGAGGGUAAGGUUCGAACACCUACAACUUUUGUAAAAUACGCUACUACUCAACGCAGACCACUACACCAAGGAGAUUAAAUUGCUCCGGGUGCCUCUCGAAUCAAUAUAACAACUUUUUCGGCUCCAGGGCCAGAGACCUCUAUAAGUAGACAUCUUCGUAACUUGGGAAUGGCAUAAAAGAAAAAAAACAUCAUUCUCUCUCAGUCGCUCCAUCACACAAAAUGCUGUCUCUGCGAUCAAUCUCCGCUGUUCUAAUGUCGCUCCUUCUCCUGUCUGCCACGGCAGGUAUGAUCCAGACCGGGCCCGCUCCAGUGAAAUCUCCCGUCGACCAUACCGGUCCAAAAUGGGUUCUUCCACCGGUGCCUAGCACCCAGGAAGAUUGUGGCUUCGUUUGCAGGCACAGCGAUUUGCUUCCUUUUGGAUGUCCAGGCGUCAACUGUUACUGUCUCCAGAAUCCAUAAAUAAUUGUUGUACGAGUUUGUCUACAAAAAUUAUCCAAGUUUGAUGAAAUAAAGUAUCUGAAUUAAGUGGUGA
This is a long non-coding RNA of Brassica napus (rape), 587 nucleotides long. RefSeq lists it as uncharacterized. The record is from RefSeq and is a predicted model, not a curated record. Lineage: Eukaryota; Viridiplantae; Streptophyta; Magnoliopsida; Brassicales; Brassicaceae. The transcript has 2 exons.